RNAcentral lists this ribosomal RNA (484 nucleotides) under uncultured bacterium. Its description in RNAcentral is "partial 16S ribosomal RNA". It matches the Rfam family "Bacterial small subunit ribosomal RNA", at positions 30 to 507 of the family's 1533-position model. The record is from RNAcentral.
AUUGAACGCUGGCGGCAGGCCUAACACAUGCAAGUCGAGCGGAUGAAGGGAGCUUGCUCCUGGAUUCAGCGGCGGACGGGUGAGUAAUGCCUAGGAAUCUGCCUGGUAGUGGGUGAUAACGUCCGGAAACGGGCGCUAAUACCGCAUAAGUCCUGAGGGAGAAAGUGGGGGAUCUUCGGACCUCACGCUAUCAGAUGAGCCUAGGUCGGAUUAGCUAGUUGGUGGGGUAAAGGCCUACCAAGGCGACGAUCCGUAACUGGUCUGAGAGGAUGAUCAGUCACACUGGAACUGAGACACGGUCCAGACUCCUACGGGAGGCAGCAGUGGGGAAUAUUGGACAAUGGGCGAAAGCCUGAUCCAGCCAUGCCGCGUGUGUGAAGAAGGUCUUCGGAUUGUAAAGCACUUUAAGUGGGGAGGAAGGGCAGUAAGUUAAUACCUUGCUGUUUUGACGUUACCAACAGAAUAAGCACCGGCUAACUUCGUG